Long non-coding RNA from Oryzias latipes (Japanese medaka), 1593 nucleotides. RefSeq lists it as uncharacterized. NCBI's taxonomy places the organism in Eukaryota, Metazoa, Chordata, Actinopteri, Beloniformes, Adrianichthyidae. The record is from RefSeq and is a predicted model, not a curated record.
UCUGGAAUCCAAUUUUCUAAAAUAAACCAAAAACCGUUGCUUCUGUUAAUUGGUCACAGGUGUAGGCACUCCCAUCCUGGUGCUGCUAAUGAGCACCUGGCCACUUAUAAAAUAGGACGAAGUGGGCUCUCCCUCAUUCCUGGCCGAGACUGCCUCUUUCUGGGUUCCUGCACCUGUCAGUGCAGCAGGUCGGCUUGUGACUGGAGGAAAGGUGAAAUGGGAACAGAGCGCAUUGCUCCUCCCAGUGAUAUCCCCUGCUGAUUGGGUCUUUGAUGAGGAACCCGCUCCUGCUCGAUACAGGUUUUUGUGGCCUUUGUGGGAGUAAGUUGCUUCAUGGGUCCCUCGUCUGCUCUGCCGGGUCAGCCGCUGAACAGCAGCAUCUCCUCUCCCUUGCGGCCGAUCACAUGGCUGCACAGGCGCUCCUGGGACUUGGAGGCCUUUUGGGACUCGUAUUAUCUACCCCUCCCUAGCUACCUACAGUGACUGACUGGUACUCAAUUGUAAGUUCACCUUUUCUUUUGUUGUAUCACAUUCUGGAUUUGCAUGUGAGUGGGGUGUUGUUUUGUUUCUGUUGGUUGACAAACUCUGUCUGCAAGUGGGCUUGAAGCCCCUAGUGGGUUUAUCCUGUGUUUUAUUUAUUCUGUAACUACUAUUUAUAAUUAAUCUCUUUUAAAUGUGGAACCAUGUCUGCGCUUGGUUUGAGUCCCCAUUUUUAUUAGUGUACCUGGACCGCUCGUGUUGCCACACUUGCAACACGUGACACAAUGUCACGUCUUGCCACAAACCAACAUUAAUUUAUAUGAUAUAUUUUUUGUUGUAAUGUUCACACUAGUGUAAGGUCUAAAAACAGAACACACAAUCACUUGUUUGCAAACCAAUAUUGUACCAGGUAAAUUUGAUGUUUUUAGGUGUCUUAAUAACACAAAUAAAAUCAGGAUCAAACCUAUAUAUUAAACACGCAUUAGUGCUGCAUAAGAAGAAACUUAUGCAAAUAAGUCUACACUUUGCCCAGUGAGUGGGUCCCCCCUUCAUCAAAUUUUCUUUAGCGGAACUCUGAUAUAAACCCAAACAUGAAGGUCUCGCAGUGGUCCCUUUUGUGAUAUUUCACCAGAAAAAGCCCCCUGCUGAACAAGUGAAAGUCUCUGCUCAUGUGUGAAAAUUACAGGGGUUGGUUUUGGCUCAAUGAGUCUCUCUGGGAAUUUAGCGGAUUUAAGGUUACAGCCUCGUCAGGCUGAGAGAAGAGGCGGCAAAGCGACAAUGAAGUCCACUGAGGGGGCAUUUCAAGCAGUCUUCAUCUGAGAUCAAUAAAACAUACAACAGUGGAAGAAGUCCUUAUAGUAUUAAAGUUUGACGUCCAAGCCAACCUUUUCUACAGUUCUGAGGUUUUAAACCCUGCAACCCUUGUGCUUAGGAGUUUGUCACAUCCUCACACUUCAGCCUAACAAAGACAAAAGCUUUAGUCUCUCCCCACCCCCUCUAUUUUUAGCGGCCAGCUUUUUAAAUUAAAGCAGAUCCUUGCUGGAAUAGACUCACUAGUGUUUGUGUGACAUAGUUUUGCCUUCAUAAGUGCAGGUGGUGACUCACUGGGUCACC